RNAcentral lists this ribosomal RNA (86 nucleotides) under Acinetobacter pittii. Lineage: Bacteria; Pseudomonadati; Pseudomonadota; Gammaproteobacteria; Moraxellales; Moraxellaceae. The record is from RNAcentral.
UGAUCCCUUCCUGAACUCAGAAGUGAAACCUCUUAGCGCUGAUGGUAGUGUGGGGUUACCCAUGUGAGAGUAAGUCAUCGCCAGCU